UACGUAGGGGGCAAGCGUUGUCCGGAUUUAUUGGGCGUAAAGAGCGUGUAGGCGGCCAUACAGGUCAGCUGUGAAAACUCGAGGCUCAACCUCGAGACGUCGGUUGAAACCGUAUGGCUAGAGUCCGGAAGAGGAGAGUGGAAUUCCAGGUGUAGCGGUGAAAUGCGCAGAUAUCCGGAGGAACACCAGUGGCGAAGGCGGCUCGCUGGGCUCUACCUGACGCUGAGGCGCGAAAGCGUGGGGAGCGAACCGG
Molecule: ribosomal RNA, 253 nt
Filed under: uncultured bacterium
Lineage: Bacteria
Description: partial 16S ribosomal RNA
Rfam family: Bacterial small subunit ribosomal RNA
Source: RNAcentral